AAAUAUUUGUCUCUCUAAUUUGUAUCUCUAAUAUUCAUAGAAUAAAAUAUUUCUUGCAGUGGGGAGGUACGGCCGGCCAUAGUAUUAUCCAGCUCUGGCCAUUGGGAGAUACGCAAUGGGAGGUCUUUAGACAUUUCCUUUCCCGCUCCGACCAUUGUUUAAAGUGCCGAUGAAGAAAGAUUUUUAGAAGCUUCUAUGGCUUAUGUAUCUGAGAAUCCGAUUUUGACAGAUGAAGAGUUUGACAAGCUUAAGUUGAAACUUAAGUUCUGGAUGGAUGGCAAUGAAAUUAUGGUUAAGGGUCCACGAUGUAGUCUCCGUAGUAGAAAGGUUUACAGUGACCUUUAUGUUUAUUAUCUGAAGAUGUUUUGCUAAAUGUCCCGGCAGUUGUUGUUACGCUUGGAUUGUUCUUUUUCCUCAAUGAUUUGAUUGGAUUUGAGAUCACGUAUGUUUUGGAGUGAUAUAGAGCGCACCUUAGUUGAGAAGUUGGCUUCACUUCGGGUAACAUCCAAACCUCAUUCAGUCUCAUCUAAUGGUAUAUCUUGGAAGUCAAAGAACUUGAGUUUUAUAAGAAGAAACUACAGAAGAAAAAGGGCAAGGUUGCAGCUGCUUAAUUGGAGCUCAUUAAUUUUUUAGACUAAUUUAAAUGUUUUUCCUUUUUGCCCGUUAAUCGACUUGGUUUGUGGGGAUUUUUUUUUAAAUCUUUCCAUGAGUCAAUCUUGAUACCUCGGCUUUGUUUUGAUGUUGGCCUUCAUUACUUUCAGUUUAUUCAUAAUUUUUUUGAUAUGUUAAAUUUUAAUGUUCAAUGUGU
This is a long non-coding RNA of Capsicum annuum, 808 nucleotides long. RefSeq lists it as uncharacterized. NCBI's taxonomy places the organism in Eukaryota, Viridiplantae, Streptophyta, Magnoliopsida, Solanales, Solanaceae. The record is from RefSeq and is a predicted model, not a curated record. The transcript is spliced from 7 exons.